AGUGUGACAAUCAUCAUUUCUCACCAGAGCAUUUGCUCCACAGGAAAGAAGUAAUAGAACAGUCUUCUCCUGGCCUCUUUUGGCUGCUUGAUGCAAAAGAGUACCCGCAUGACGCCCAGGACUAUUUUCCCUCUUCUUCUUCUUCUUCUAAGAGGAGUGGAGAGGGCAAAGGUGGAAACUUCCAAUCAGAGCUGUGGAUUUAAUAAUAUUGCCGCAGAGGCAGA
This 224-nucleotide unclassified non-coding RNA is filed under the name Hevea brasiliensis (rubber tree). The record is from RNAcentral. Lineage: Eukaryota; Viridiplantae; Streptophyta; Magnoliopsida; Malpighiales; Euphorbiaceae.